Molecule: ribosomal RNA, 561 nt
Filed under: Lacticaseibacillus casei
Lineage: Bacteria; Bacillati; Bacillota; Bacilli; Lactobacillales; Lactobacillaceae
Description: bacterial SSU rRNA
Rfam family: Bacterial small subunit ribosomal RNA
Source: RNAcentral
CGAACGAGUGUCUCGUUGAUGAUCGGUGCUUGCACCGAGAUUCAACAUGGGAACGAGUGGCGGACGGGUGAGUAACACGUGGGUAACCUGCCCUUAAGUGGGGGAUAACAUUUGGAAACAGAUGCUAAUACCGCAUAGAUCCAAGAACCGCAUGGUUCUUGGCUGAAAGAUGGCGUAAGCUAUCGCUUUUGGAUGGACCCGCGGCGUAUUAGCUAGUUGGUGAGGUAAUGGCUCACCAAGGCGAUGAUACGUAGCCGAACUGAGAGGUUGAUCGGCCACAUUGGGACUGAGACACGGCCCAAACUCCUACGGGAGGCAGCAGUAGGGAAUCUUCCACAAUGGACGCAAGUCUGAUGGAGCAACGCCGCGUGAGUGAAGAAGGCUUUCGGGUCGUAAAACUCUGUUGUUGGAGAAGAAUGGUCGGCAGAGUAACUGUUGUCGGCGUGACGGUAUCCAACCAGAAAGCCACGGCUAACUACGUGCCAGCAGCCGCGGUAAUACGUAGGUGGCAAGCGUUAUCCGGAUUUAUUGGGCGUAAAGCGAGCGCAGGCGGUUUUUUAA